Molecule: long non-coding RNA, 1010 nt
Organism: Onychostoma macrolepis
Lineage: Eukaryota; Metazoa; Chordata; Actinopteri; Cypriniformes; Cyprinidae
Exons: 4
Source: RefSeq, a predicted model, not a curated record
UGUUUUGAAUGGCCUUUGAAUGUGUGUUGUUCAUUCCGUUCUGAUGAAAAUUUUUGGUUCAUGAAAUUGUUUUCUAAAUGUUAGUAGGUUUUACACCUGCUUCCAAGCACAUUGAAAAGAGAUUGUAGAGAAGGAGCCUCCAGUAAAAGAGACUCUCCAAAGAUGGCCAUUAAUUUUCACAGAAAGAGAGAUCAAUUAAGAGUUUAAUCAAAUUACAGCAAAAACCUCAAGCAAGAAUUUUUCUCUGCACUCGAUCAACAUGCUUCACGAUUUCUGGACAUUUUUGAGAGCAAGAAAGGGGCUGUUGGAAAAAGACUGAAUUUCUUCAGCGAAUCAAACCUGUGAGCACUGAUAUCACUGCAAAGCGCACGGAAGUUCUACGUGGCCUUCCACUCAUUCUUGGAGAAGAAGCCUCUGACUUUUUUACAACAGCACUGGACUGUGAAUGUGACAUACCCCAGAUUUCCAUUGGGAUACUGACUGUGACACCAGAAGAUAGCCAGGAUUCCCCACAAGCACUGCAUUUGGAGGCUUCAAACACCGCAAUCAUCUUGGAAGGAGUCAUCGUGAUGGAUGAUCUUGAAAAUCUUCCAGAUGCCAUGUGACUACUUUUUGUGUUUAGUGUUUCUUUUACUUGGACACAAAUUUCUGAAACCAAAACUACAGUCACUUAAAGACCUGCUGCUGAUGUAAAUUGAGGCUGUUUGAGAUUGUUUUAAAGGGAUAGUUGAAUCCCUUUAAUCUUCUGGUUGCACAAAAGUUUGUUUAAUUACACUUUUCGACUGUUACCUGUCAAACUUUGUUGAAAACAUUUUUAAACGUUAAAGAAUGUUUAAAAAAUGUUCUUAAAAGUUUUAAAGCAGUGUUAUUAUUUUUUAAUUGUAAGCACUGUUAAGACUUAAGCUAGUGUUGAUUAUUUUAAAAGGUCACCUGUUCAGUUUCAGGUCAAAGAUUGUCAAGCAGUCAGGAUCCUUUUUUUUAGCUGCACUUGCACUGCACUUUUAAGUUGC